GUAUAUAAAGAGAUCCUGUUGCUGCAUGCAGACAUAAAAUUGAGUCUGUGGCAUUUGCUGUAUUUUUCAUCUACAUCCCAAAUCAGACAUCUUAAGGCACUAAUAAUUUGCAAAGUUAAACCUCCUCCACAAAUUUCACCCAGCAAAUCGAUGGGCGGAGAAUUUUGUGUGGCUGCUACCUUCGGAACAUCCAGGUCAUGGUUUGCAAAUAAUGCAGGUCUGAAAAGAGAAAAAGAUCAGUCCAAACAAGUUGUAGUUGAGUCCCUGUACAUUAUCAGUUGCUAUGGCACCUUAGUGGAGCACAUGAUGGAGCCACGACCCCUCAGCACUGCACCCAAGAUUAGUGACGACACGCCGCUGGAAAUGAUGACAUCGCCUCGAGCCACCUGGACUCUGGUUAGAACCCCUCAAUGGAAUGAAUUGCAGCCACCAUUUAAUGCAAACCACCCUCUGCUCCUCGCUGCAGAUGCAGUACAGUAUUAUCAGUUCCUGCUUGCUGGCCUGGUUCCCCCUGGAAGUCCUGGGCCCAUUACUCGACAUGGGUCUUAUGACAGUUUAGCUUCUGACCAUAGUGGACAGGAAGAUGAAGAAUGGCUUUCCCAGGUUGAAAUUGUAACACACACUGGACCCCAUAGACGUCUGUGGAUGGGUCCACAGUUCCAGUUCAAAACCAUCCAUCCCUCAGGCCAAACCACAGUCAUCUCAUCCAGUUCAUCUGUGUUGCAGUCUCAUGGUCCGAGUGACACGCCACAGCCUCUUUUGGAUUUUGAUACAGAUGAUCUUGAUCUCAACAGUCUCAGGAUCCAGCCAGUCCGCUCUGACCCAGUCAGCAUGCCAGGGUCAUCCCGUCCAGUCUCUGAUCGAAGGGGAGUUUCCACAGUGAUUGAUGCUGCCUCAGGUACCUUUGACCGGAG
Molecule: small RNA, 914 nt
Filed under: Pongo abelii (Sumatran orangutan)
Lineage: Eukaryota; Metazoa; Chordata; Mammalia; Primates; Hominidae
Description: processed transcript
Source: RNAcentral